CGCCAGCACCAGCACCAGGGCCACCGCGAUCGCCGCAGCUAAUCCGAGAAAGUAAGGCGAGGAAUAGCUGAUUUCGUGUCCGAUAGCGAGUUCGGCCCCUUUGAGGAUCAAGAACCCUAAGAUUCCGGAACCGAUCACGAUCGAGGAGGUGAUGGCUUGGGUGCAGAUGAGCGUGGCCAAGAGCGGGAAGAAGGACGUCCCGAUGGACUUGAUCGCCGACGGGAGCUUGACCGGCCGGCCGUAGAACACCUGGACGACGCUGUAGGUGAUGGAGCACGUGGCGCAGAUGAACAGGAGCGUGAGGAAGCAGCUGUACCCCACGCUGACGAGCACGCUCCUCGGGUCGACGCUGCUUUGGUGGUGUUCGGCCGGUUGAUUGAGGAGGGGGGAGCGCCGGAGGAGGGCCUGGACGUGAUACGGGUCCGAGAAGGAGGAGAAGGAGCUGAGGAGGAGGCGGUGGAGAAUGGGGUAGGCGGCGACGCAGAGGGAGAGGGGGAGGAGGAAGAGCACGUAGAGGACGAGGAAGUGGCGGGAGUGGGCUUUGAGCAUGCGCCGCGAUUCGGAUAACACGGUCCGGAAGUCAGCCGCCCGCGGCGGCGGUUGCGACGGUGGCGGCGGCGAAAGUGGUGGUGGUGUCGCCGUUGCCAUGGCCGAGAGCUGCAGCUGGCGUCGUCGUGGAUGAUUCAGAGUCUCAGACGGAUACGGAUAAGGUAGAUGGAUGGAGAACGCUAUUUAUAUAAAUAAUUAAGCAAGUAAAAUAACUAAAUAAAUAAAUAAAACAUUUCUCUUUUUUUAACUCUUUUUCUUACAAGGUAAGCAUGGGCCAUGUAUACGAACGGUGGAGAGUUCAGGAAAAAUUGUUUUUUAUUUUCAGUGGAUGGAUUGGACUGGCAAUGUAACACACAAUAAUGCUUAUAAAGGGUUUGAACUCUUCCUAUGAUGACGUAAUUUGAUUUGGAAGACUCAAAAAGGCAUGUUCAAUAUUGCUAGUUUUGAAAAUAAAUAGGCUCCUCUAAAAGAAGGAUGGAUGAAUUUUCGACGAAUUUUUAAUAGGUCGUGUUUUAAAGCAUACAGAUAUAUUUAGAAAAAAUCUUAAAUAAGAAUCUAAAGUACUAUCAUUUUCUCAAAAGAGGACCUGAAGUGAAAUUUGUCUCAAAGAAAGACCAAAAGUGGUCAUUUAGUCUCAAAGAAUGAUCUCACUUGCCGACCGAUGAAUAAAUGCAUCUCCGAUGUAUAUUUCAAUGGCCUAAUUAGGGUAUUUUAGUCCUUUUUUUUUUUCCAUUUUUGAUUUCCCUAUUCAUCGUCUUUUUCGUCCCCUGUUCACUUCUUCUUGGCCAGAUCAAGAACACUGAACUUGGGGAAAGGCUGGCGAUAGCUAGCUGUUGGUAAGGGCCGGCGAGGGCUCAACGCCCAUCAUCGGCAGUGAGCGAGGGCUAGACGCCCAUUGCUGGCAGCGGGUGAGGGCCAUCGAGCCCUUGCUGGCCAUGGGGGAGGGGGGCCGUCCAAAUCAAGGCCCUACAAGGAGGUCCUCGAGGGCAAAAGGUGUAGCCGGAGAAGUCGUCGAUCGGGGAGUUCAAUUGUGUUCCAACUUUUCUAUCUUGGAUUCUACAAACAACAAUUAUGGCCCCUUUUCCAUUACAUGCUUCCCAUGCGUCCAGACCACGGGGAGCGUUUUGACCGUUCAUUUUGGCAAGCAUAUGUAUCUGCAAACAAAAUUUUUGCAGACAAGGUUAUGGAAAUCAUAAGUCCUGACGAUGACUAUGUUUGGGUUCAUGAUUAUCACCUUAUGAUCCUACCCACAUUUCUAAGAAAGGGAUUUCAUUGAGUCAAACUCGGAUUCUUCCUCCACAGUCCUUUUCCUUCAUCAGAAAUAUACAGAAACUUGCCUGUCCGGGAUGAGAUUUUGAGGGGUUGUUGAACUGUGACCUUAUAGGUUUCCAUAUGUUUGAUUACGCGCGCCAUUUCCUUUCAUGCUAUGGUAGAAUGCUGGGCCUGGAUUAUGAAUCUAAGCGAGGGUAUAUUGGACUGGAGUAUUUUGGUCGGACAGUGUAUAUCAAAAUUUUGCCUGUAGGCGUUCACAUGGGCCGGCUUGAAUCUGUCCUUAAUCUUCCUGCUACAUCCACCAAAGUCAAGGAAAUUCAAGAACAGUUCGAGGGGAUGAAAGUGAUUCUUGGUGUUGAUGACAUGGAUAUCUUUAAAGGCAUCAGUCUAAAACUACUAGCUUUGGAGCAGCUCUUGCAGCAGCAUUUGCAAUUACGUGGCAAAAUAGUCUUGGUUCAAAUUGUGAAUCCAGCCAGAGGUUCAGGCAAAGAUGUCGAAGAAGCAAAAAAGGAGACAUAUUUAACUGCCAAAAGGAUUAAUGAAGCUUAUGGUGCUGCCGGUUAUGAGCCUGUGGUUUUAGUCGACCGUCGCAUUCCACGUUAUGAGAAGAAUGCCUAUUAUGCAGUAGCAAAAUGCUGCAUCGUGAAUGCCGUGAGAGAUGGGAUGAAUUUAGUUCCUUACAAGUAUAUUGUUUGCAGGCAGGGAACUCCAAGCAUGGAUGAAGCACUGGGCAUAAUGAAGAAUGCUCCCCGCACGUGCAUGCUUGUCGUUUCCGAGUUCAUUGGUUGCUCGCCUUCUCUUAGUGGAGCAAUUAAGGUCAACCCUUGGGACGUUGAUGCUAUGGCUGAUGCUUUAAGUUUAGCAAUAAACAGGAGCAGUUCUAAGAAGCAAUUAAGACACGAGAAACAUUACAAAUAUGUUAGUACUCAAAAUGUGGCAUAUUGGGCACGCAGCUUCACACAUGAUCUGGAGAGAGCAUGCUGAGAUCAUUACAAGAAGCGGUGCUGGGCAUUUGGUUUGGGAUUGCGAUUCAGAGUUCUCUCUCUUUCUCCCAGCUUUAGGAGGUUAUCAAUUGAUCACGCAGUCUCUUCUUAUAGAAAGACAAAGAGAAGAGCUAUAUUUCUGGAUGAUGAUGGCACUGUUGUUCCUGAAACUUCUAUCAGUAAAAUGUCAAAGCCCGAAGUCCUUUCUGUUUUGAACACUCUCUGUAAUGAUCCAAUGAACACUGUAUUUAUUAUCAGUGGGAGGGGGAGAAAAUCAUUAAGUGAGUGGCUUUCUUGGAGAAAAUCAUUAAGUGAGUGGCUUUCUUCGUGCAAGAUGCGUGGAAUAGCCGCUGAGCAUGGGUAUUUUAUAAGGUAUGCGGAAAACAGAAUCUCAUGUAUUUCUUGUUAUAAAUAUAGUUUCCCCAUCAUUAGGGUUUUGGCUCCUUUUCUCCUGCAGGUGGAACAGUGCAGCUGAGUGGGAAACCAGUUCAUUGUCUGCUGAUCUUGAUUGGAAGAAUAUCGUGGAACCUAUAAUGAAAUCAUACACAGAGGCAACUGAUGGCUCGAGCAUAGAGUACAAGGAGAGCGCUUUGGUGUGGCACCAUCAGGAUGCAAACCCUGAUUUUGGAUCAUGCCAAGCCAAGGAGUUGUUGGCUCAUCUAGAGAGCUUCAUCUCUGGACCUUCUUUUUCUAUGACUCCAGAAAUUUUCGCUUGCACGGUGGGGUAGAAGCCAAGCAAGGCAAAAAAAAAUAAUAAUAAUAAAGAACAAGACAACUGAAAAAAGAGAGAGACAAAAAUACCCCUGAUUAAGCUACCGGAAUAUGCAGCGGAGAUGCAUCUAUUCACCGGCCGUCUAGUGAGGUCCUUCUUUGAGACUAAAUGACCACUUUGGGUCCUUAUUUGAGACAGACUUCACUCCAUGUCAUCUUUUGAGAAAAUGAAGGCAUUUGAGGUCUUUAUUUGAGAUUUUCUCAUAUAUUUAUGGUUAUAAUAUUGGUACGGGUGCCUCUGCUAUGAAAUUGAUUGAGCUAGGUUUGAAAAUCAAUAUUCUCUUCUAGAAGAAGGAUAAAUGCAUUUUCAAGGAAUUUUUAAAAGGCUGUGUUUUAAAGGAGACAGAUAUAUUUAUGGUUACAAUAUUGGUAUGAAAUUGAUUAAAUAAGUGGUUGGACUUAUUUGAUCGCGGUGGAUUCAAAAUGUUGAAAACUCAAUUGCACAUUUUCAAAGACGUAGGUAGGUUGUUUGUGAUUGCCUAGACCUUUUUAUCGGAUACAAUAAGGUUGGACCGAAUAAAAAUGAAAUUUCUAAUGUCUUAUAUAAUGUUUGGAAAAUACAACGUUACCCAAAAUGAAUUGAAUGACAACCUUCUGAGUGCAUGUUACAUAUUGUCAUUGGCAAAUCCUACCUCGCUCUUGUUACCGUUCUCUUUCUCCACCUCCACCUCCACCUUCUCUUCGAUCAUGUUGGAUUGAAUGCUAACCGUCUAGAUCUCCAAGCUCUUACGGAUGUCCAAGCUGCCUGGGUAUCAUUGUUGUGCAAGAUGUCUAGCAACCACUAGUCCCUCCUCCAUUUUCAUUUUCGACCCGCAAUCUUCAACAACGCUAGCGUAGCUGCCACCCUUACCCUCGUGGCCGAUGUCAAGUUCGGAUGAAGCUGUUGCAGAUGAAGGUGUGGCUACUCAUGUGGCUGAGGUCAAGUCAAGCUCCUAUGUGAUCAAGGUCCGAUCGAGCUUUGUUGAGUCAUGCUCAGCCAUGGAGGAGCUCUAGAUGUGGCCAUGGUGUUCGUCCUAGGUUGAGAUUGACUCGAGCUUGUAACAGUGAUGAGCCUCAUCGGUGGCAAUGACGAUGGAGCUAGGUGGACGACUAUGGGUGGAAGGAGCUGUGGUUGACAUUCAUGAGUGAGUUGAAGGGACAAAGAAGAGAAAUGAACGCGAGACAUGUUUUAUUCGCAUUUAUAUCACGUCCACAUGAGACUAUUUUAUCCCUCCUAUAUUUACCUUAUUUUGUCUUGAACAGAAAUCAAGCAUAUGAUAUGAUAGUAUUAAUUAUGUCUUGACUUUUUAUCUUGGCCAGUGAAUGUAAUUUUAGGCUCUAUUUGUUUUGUGGAAAAUAAUAUUUUCUUCAUUUUCUAGCGUUUGGUUUACUUAGAAAAAUUAGUCAAUGGAAAAAUGUUUUCCCAAUGAAAGGAAUAUUUAUGCUAAAAUUCAGGAAAAUGAUUUUAUUUUUGAAAAAAAAAAUGAAGAUAUUUAUCAAAAUAUGAUUAAAUAUCAGCACUUGAACUCAAAUCUUCGCGCUUGGACACGGGAACCUAACGUUAGUUCCUGGUGCUUAGGCUAAAGUAUCACCCUUUGAUGCCCACACCGGGGUCUAUCGAGGUCGGGCCCAAGGCCCUCAUGCUCGUGCCCAAUGCUUUGACACUUGAGCCCGAGUCAUAAAGGCAAUGUUGGGGUCCUUAAAGCUCUAGUCCCUUGCACUAACACCCGGCUCCAAAAGGCCAUGUGCAAAUUCUUGGCACUCAAGCUCGGGCCCUUUGUUAAUAAAAUGUUCAUUUUUUUAUAAAUUAUAUUUUUUUUAAAAUCGAAUUUAUAAUUAUUUUUAGCCUUUCCUUUUCUUUCCUUCUCUUUUCAUUCUUCUUCGGUUGGUCGCCUUGGCUGGUGAGGUGGAGCCUCACUGGUCUUGGGGGAGCUCGUCCUUCGCUUGUGGCUAGUCACUGUAGCCAGCUGAGCAAGAGGGAAAAAGAAAAGGAAAAAAAAUUAGAAAGUUCGAACAUUUUGGUAAUCUUCCCUAGGUUUUUUCAUUCCAAAUGGCGAAAGAUAUUUUCUAAUUCAUUUUUGUUGACACUUAAAUUUCGAUUAUCCAUUUAAUUGUUCAUUACAUAAAAAUAUUAGGGAUCAACCUCAAACCCCAAAAUUAUAUAUAGGCACGUAAUAUAGGCACACAUGAUUACGUUGGAAUCAAUGGACUGGUGCAGGUAGGUUUUGAGCCUAAAUGAAUUGGACGAAGCCCGUUGAAAUACAAACUCGGCCUACCUGGCCCAUUAUCCUCUAAGUGGCUGAAAAUUGGGAGUAGUAAAUGCGUAUUUCCGAGAUAAUUAUGAGAGGGUCUACACUGUCAUGCCCUGCAAUUCUGUUCCAAGGGGCUAAAACCCCAUUCAAGAAACGGGAAGUGAUCUUUGGACAGCAAGGGCAUUGAAGUCUCUCUCCCCCUCUCUCUUUUCGCGCUCUUUCUCCUCUCAGCAUUCGGCAGAAACAAACCAACGAAGCACCUCGCAGCUGCUCUGCGCACCGAUUCGCUCCUUCGGUAAUCUCUCUCCCGAUCGAUCGAUCGAUCGAUGUCGAAGGACGAGGGUUAGACUCGCGCUAGGUAGGAUAGGAGCCGACAUGUUUUCGGGACGCUAUUGGGGCUGACUGUUUUCUGUUUUCGCGAGCGCCUCUUGUUGGAGGAAGGGAUUGGGAUUAGUUUGAAUUGUAGGUUUUCUGUUUACCUCCUCUCGGCCCAAGAGUGUGAUCAACGAUGAUUUGGCGUGCUGCACGCUUCCCUCGAGCACUAUAGAACGCCUGCAUUCCUCCUUUUUCCGUGAUCAAAGUAUGUUUCGGAUUUCGAUUAUGACAUUGGAGCUGUGGAAGCUUUUGGCUCGAAUGAGAGUGUUGUGGCGGUCGAUGUGUGGAUGCGAGGUUGGCCGAUGCCUCUUUGAAACGUCUGCCGAUUUCGUUUGGUUGGGGAGCUCGAGAGAGGAAAGUGGUGAACUGGGGUUCUAAUAUUCGAACACGGUUUAUUCGUUCGGAGCAACUUUAUGAGGCACACGAGGUUCCUGAAUAUCGCGGUGGAUUGUCCCAGGACUAAACCUGGGUGAAUCAAUAGCCUUCUUAGGUUUUGAUGUGCAUGUUUUCCGAGGAUGAAAUUUGUGAGUGAAUUUCAAAGGAAGAGUAAUGACGGUCGGGUCUUAGAUUUUCGGUGAGUACCAAAAAAGAUGAAUGAUGCUUUGUUCCGAAGAAAGCCAAAGAACGCUGCAGUUUUGUACGUCCAAACAACUUGAACAUGUGCUGAGAAUCAAUUCCACAACAUCUGAACAGCAGCAAAAAUGAGUCCAAAUAGCAUCGCUCCCCACCCUACUUAGAAAGUGGUGACACGAUACAAUGCGGCGAUGUUUUCACUCGGUACACGGGUGACUUAUCUCACUGCAAGAAAGAAAAGGCACAUCUCCAUCUAUCAAAUUGCAAUACCUUUAUUACGCGUCAUUAAGUGAUUACACCGAAUUCGAUCAGAUUCUAACUGAUGUAAACUGUAUAGUUGCUUGUACAGUAUACAUGCCUUUGAUCGUACAAACAAAAUUCAACACGUAGAGGCCACACACAUGGGCGAUGUCGAGCUACACUUCAUUGCUAUCAAUUAGAGUUGCAAAGCAAAGCAAUCUCACAACUACCUGAGUCAAUGACCGAGAGCACCGUCGCACCAUCACGAAUCGAUCAAGCGUGCGCGACAUAAGACCUUCUCGUCAUCGAAGGGCAGACUAACGUACUCCCUCGCGAACUCCUCGGCGAUCUCAAUGGCCAGCUCUCCGUGCAGAGCCUUGCAGUACAUGUACAGCACCACGGUCGCGGCCAGGCUGAGCUGCAUCAGCACCGUGAGGCAGCUCGACGUCGACACGAUCUGGGCCACGAAGUACCAGCGCCUCCAUUCGUUCCCAUCGAUUACCGAUUCCGAAGUCGACAGAGUACCAAUACACACCACAAACCCCGACAGAACUCCGAAGAACAGCGUCAGCGACAGCGCCACGCCUCUCAUCCCCUUCACCAGAUAAGCGCUCCGCCGCAGCGGAGCGAACCCGUAGCUCAAUUCGGCCACCACGACCACGUUCACCAGACCCCACUGCACUUGCAGAUACGCCAGCAUCAGCACCAGGGCCACCGCGAUCGCCGCAGCUAAUCCGAGAAAGUAAGGCGAGGAAUAGCUGAUUUCGUGUCCGAUAGCGAGUUCGGCCCCUUUGAGGAUCAAGAACCCUAAGAUUCCGGAACCGAUCACGAUCGAGGAGGUGAUGGCUUGGGUGCAGAUGAGCGUGGCCAAGAGCGGGAAGAAGGACGUCCCGAUGGACUUGAUCGCCGCCGGGAGCUUGACCGGCCGGCCGUAGAACCCCUGCACGACGCUGUAGGUGAUGGAGCACGUGGCGCAGAUGGACAGGAGCGUGAGGAAGCAGCUGUACCCCACGCUGACGAGGACGCUGCUCGCGUCGACGCUGCUUUGGUGGUGUUCGGCCGGUUGAUUGAGGAGGGGGGAGCGGCGGAGGAGGG
RNAcentral lists this long non-coding RNA (8089 nucleotides) under Eucalyptus grandis. RNAcentral's name for it is "long non-coding RNA (EGRA_LNC004409)". The record is from RNAcentral. Lineage: Eukaryota; Viridiplantae; Streptophyta; Magnoliopsida; Myrtales; Myrtaceae.